Dicentrarchus labrax (European seabass) is the source of this 619-nucleotide long non-coding RNA. RefSeq lists it as uncharacterized. The record is from RefSeq and is a predicted model, not a curated record. The transcript has 7 exons. Lineage: Eukaryota; Metazoa; Chordata; Actinopteri; Moronidae.
UGAACAGGUGGAGACCUAUGGUAGUUUGUGGAGGUUGGAGGUGAACAGGUAAGAGACCUACAGUAGUUUGUGGAGGUUGGAGGUGAACAGGUGGAGACCUAUGGUAGUUUGUGGAGGUUGGAGGUGAACAGGUAAGAGACCUACAGUAGUUUGUGGAGGUUGGAGGUGAACAGGUGGAGACCUAUGGUAGUUUGUGGAGGUUGGAGGUGAACAGGUGGAGACCUAUGGUAGUUUGUGGAGGUUGGAGGUGAACAGGUAAGAGACCUACAGUAGUUUGUGGAGGUUGGAGGUGAACAGGUGGAGACCUAUGGUAGUUUGUGGAGGUUGGAGGUGAACAGGUAAGAGACCUACAGUAGUUUGUGGAGGUUGGAGGUGAACAGGUGGAGACCUAUGGUAGUUUGUGGAGGUUGGAGGUGAACAGGUGGAGACCUAUGGUAGUUUGUGGAGGUUGGAGGUGAACAGGUGGAGACCUAUGGUAGUUUGUGGAGGUUGGAGGUGAACAGGUGGAGACCUAUGGUAGUUUGUGGAGGUUGGAGGUGAACAGGUAAGAGACCUACAGUAGUUUGUGGAGGUUGGAGGUGAACAGGUAAGAGACCUACAGUAGUUUGUGGAGGUUGGA